This 500-nucleotide ribosomal RNA is filed under the name uncultured bacterium. RNAcentral's name for it is "bacterial SSU rRNA". It matches the Rfam family "Bacterial small subunit ribosomal RNA", at positions 501 to 1000 of the family's 1533-position model. The record is from RNAcentral.
CUACGUGCCAGCAGCCGCGGUAAUACGUAGGGUGCGAGCGUUAAUCGGAAUUACUGGGCGUAAAGCGAGCGCAGACGGUUACUUAAGCAGGAUGUGAAAUCCCCGGGCUCAACCUGGGAACUGCGUUCUGAACUGGGUGACUAGAGUGUGUCAGAGGGAGGUAGAAUUCCACGUGUAGCAGUGAAAUGCGUAGAGAUGUGGAGGAAUACCGAUGGCGAAGGCAGCCUCCUGGGAUAACACUGACGUUCAUGCUCGAAAGCGUGGGUAGCAAACAGGAUUAGAUACCCUGGUAGUCCACGCCCUAAACGAUGUCAAUUAGCUGUUGGGCAACUUGAUUGCUUAGUAGCGUAGCUAACGCGUGAAAUUGACCGCCUGGGGAGUACGGUCGCAAGAUUAAAACUCAAAGGAAUUGACGGGGACCCGCACAAGCGGUGGAUGAUGUGGAUUAAUUCGAUGCAACGCGAAGAACCUUACCUACUCUUGACAUCCAGAGAACAUUC